RNAcentral lists this ribosomal RNA (363 nucleotides) under uncultured bacterium. Its description in RNAcentral is "partial 16S ribosomal RNA". It matches the Rfam family "Bacterial small subunit ribosomal RNA", at positions 338 to 698 of the family's 1533-position model. The record is from RNAcentral.
CCUACGGGAGGCAGCAGUGAGGAAUAUUGGUCAAUGGACGCAAGCCUGAACCAGCCAAGUCGCGUGAAGGAUGACUGCCCUACGGGUUGUAAACUUCUUUUAUAAGGGGGUAAAGUGAGGCACGUGUACCUUUUUGUAUGUAUUUUAUGAAUAAGGAUCGGCUAACUCCGUGCCAGCAGCCGCGGUAAUACGGAGGAUCCAAGCGUUAUCCGGGUUUAUUGGGUUUAAAGGGAGCGUAGGUGGGUGGUUAAGUAAGUUGUGAAAGUUGGAGGCUCAACCGCAAAAUUGCAAUUGAUACUGGCAGUCUUGAGUAUAGGUGAGGUAGGCGGAAUGCGUGGUGUAGCGGUGAAAUGCUUAGAUAUC